AUUGAACGCUGGCGGCAGGCCUAACACAUGCAAGUCGAACGAGUGGCGGACGGGUGAGUAAUGUCUGGGAAACUGACUGAUGGAGGGGGAUAACUACUGGAAACGGUAGCUAAUACCGCAUACCAUCGGAUGUGCCCAGAUGGGAUUAGCUAGAAGGUGGGGUAAAGGCUCACCGAGGCGACGAUCCCUAGCUGGUCGUAGAGGAUGACCCACCACACUGGAACUGAGACACGGUCCAGACUCCUACGGUAGUCAGCUGUGGGGAAUAUUGCACAAUGGGCGCAAGCCUGAUGCAGCCAUGACGCGUGUAUGAAGAAGGCCUUCGGGUUGUAAAGUACUUUCAGCGGGGAGGCGUUACCCGCAGAAGAAGCCCCGGCUAACUCCGUGCCAGCAGCCGCGGUAAUAC
RNAcentral lists this ribosomal RNA (406 nucleotides) under uncultured bacterium. RNAcentral describes it as "partial 16S ribosomal RNA". It matches the Rfam family "Bacterial small subunit ribosomal RNA", at positions 30 to 526 of the family's 1533-position model. The record is from RNAcentral.